RNAcentral lists this long non-coding RNA (1943 nucleotides) under Oreochromis niloticus (Nile tilapia). Its description in RNAcentral is "lncRNA (ENSONIG00000041796.1)". The record is from RNAcentral. Lineage: Eukaryota; Metazoa; Chordata; Actinopteri; Cichliformes; Cichlidae.
UCUCUACAAUAGAGUUCAUAUGAUAUGAAAGCAGGAUAAUCUCCUGUAGUGUUUACAGUAAAAAUGUGUAGUUUUUUCAAGUUUUCUCCUGUACUCUGCCAUAGACACUAUAAAUUCAGCUGUUUCUCCCUGUGAUCAACAGAACACGCUUUAAAUGAUAACAUGGAUAACGCUUCAUUUUCUGGUUUUAGGCCCUGUUCAAGGCUGGAGAGCAGAAGUUUGGCACUGAUGAACAAUCUUUUGUUACCAUCCUGGGUAACCGGAGUUCAGAACACCUCAGGAAAGUAUUCGGCGCUUACAUGAAGCUGUCUGGAUAUGAGAUGGAGGAGAGUAUCAAGAGAGAAACAUGUGGAAACCUGAAGGACCUCCUCCUUGCCGUUGGUAUGUGCUCUAGAUGACUCCCUGAAGUUAUUCUUUUGUUGGUUUGCCCCCCCCCCGUAUGCUGUUUUUUUUGUUUUUGUUUUUUACAUAUGUAUUGACCUCUCAUGACCACAAGAGGGAGUCAGAGGAGUUUUGUUAGAGAUGAGGUAAGCUGCUGAGCUCUGACCCUCUGUAGGCGUCUUCUUCAGCUGAUAGAUGGGGAAGUCACUCACUACUCAGUGUUCAUCUUCAACGUCACAGAAGAGCUGCAUGUUUUUAUUCCCGGGCUGUACUGAAACAGCUUUGCAUGAUUUACAAUUCUAAGUAAUUCAAAAUAAAAUAUUUAUUUUAAAUUGGGCCUUGGUGCAGCCCUUCUGUUCUUCCUCUGUCUGGGACAAGCUGGUUUGACUCCUCUUCCUUUAAGGCUGUCUUCCCUUUAAGCCAAGGGUGUCAAACUCAUUUUCCAUUGUACAUAUAUAUAUAUAUCACUUACAAAAAAGGCUAUUACAUAUAAGAGGCAAAUAUGUUCUUUAUCUACUCAAUUUAUCUUAAAAUUGAAAUUACUUACAGAUUCAGAUUUUACAUAUAAAAAAACACAGAACACUUAAACUCUUACCUGCAAUGGAGCGUUUUAUGUUAUUGCAUCAUUACUAAAGAAAAAGGUCAGAUUAAACCUCUACUGCAUGUAUAUCAUAUAUAUCAUCUACUGGUGAUGAGGCGUAAUGAAAAGCUUUACUGCAUUCAUUGUACCAAACGAUCUGGAUGGAUGUUCACUGUAAACUUUACUAUUGACCUUCAACUAAGUCAAUAGCUGCGUACUAAUGAUAAAAGUGAGAGGAAUGUGCUUUUCACGCCUCAGUGCAUGUGUGUGAUAAAGGAGGGAAUAUCUCAGGUCUUGUUAUGAUACUCUCAUUGUUUUCAUGGAAGAGGUUGGCGUUUGUUGCCACAGAAACCGGGAGCCAAUAAUGAGGUCCAAACAGCUGGGUGUGGGGUCAGACCACCUCGAGUCACUGGAAGAACAAUAUCUUUGACUCCUCCUACCCGGUUGCCUUGUGUGUCUUUGGGUGUGGGAGACUAUGAGCGGGCAUGUGAACAGUCACCUUUUCAGAUUUUGUCUUGGGUAUUUGGCUGAGCGUUGAGCUGUGCUUUGAUAUUUUUCCCUUCUGACAUGCAGUCCCUCCCCCUGCUCCACACACUGACCAAGGCUCUGUGAACUACAAAAGAAUCUGAUGGGAAGUUUGUUUAAGAAAGAGGAUUAGACGCUGGUUAAUGUGUCCAGAGAAAGAAGCAAAUCAAUGAAAGAUAAAUGGCUUUGUGACAAACGUUGUGCAGCCUAAUUGUGUCUGUGACUGUCUACGCUUCAAGAGGAAAAAGAUGGCUCAUUUAUAAUGUAAAAUGCUAACAAUGUCAUACGGUACUGCCUGGUGUAGUUACACUAAUGAAAAGCCCAUCAACUGGGAUAAAGCUGGAAUAGGCAGCAAAGGUAAUUGGAGAAAUAUAAGAAAUAAAUUAAAUUGUUUCCUCCCUUGAGAUGCUUUACUGAAACCUCCCUCAGUUGCUGUUUAUUUGUGCAUUAGUAUUCA